GAGAGCAGAGCUGAGAGA
RNAcentral lists this microRNA (18 nucleotides) under Callorhinchus milii (elephant shark). Its description in RNAcentral is "eshark_NOVEL_247". The record is from RNAcentral. Lineage: Eukaryota; Metazoa; Chordata; Chondrichthyes; Chimaeriformes; Callorhinchidae.